UUGAAAGGGAAACGAUUGAAGUCAGUCGUACCUAUGGGUAAUCAGCCUUUUGGGUGUGAUUUUGUGGAGCGUGAGGAGUUAAACGCCUUCAUGCCUGCAUAUUCGUGCACUUUGGGUGUACUUGCCCGUAUGGUUGGUUAACAUCAAUUUUGGUGGUCAUAAAAUGACUGGAGGAAUGUAGCUUCGAUCUCGUAUUGAAGUGUUAUAGCCUUCGGUAGAUGUGAUGACCGAGAUUGAGGAUUGCAACGGAUACCCUUCGGGGCUACCUGUCUGAUCUCUGAUCGUUGCUCUGGUGCCGAAAGCUUGCUUACGGUUAUCAAAGUCGAUGGUCAAUAGGUUAGAACGGGUUAAAUUCGUUAAGGAUGUUGACGUA
RNAcentral lists this ribosomal RNA (373 nucleotides) under uncultured Glomeromycotina. Its description in RNAcentral is "LSU rRNA". Lineage: Eukaryota; Fungi; Glomeromycota. The record is from RNAcentral.